RNAcentral lists this small nuclear RNA (103 nucleotides) under Homalodisca vitripennis (glassy-winged sharpshooter). The record is from RNAcentral. Lineage: Eukaryota; Metazoa; Arthropoda; Insecta; Hemiptera; Cicadellidae.
AACAGUUUCAUUUUUAUAUAUAUAGAUUGGAACGAUACAGAGAAGAUUAGCAUGGCCCCUGCGCAAGGAUGACACGCAAAAUCGUGAAGCGUUCCACAUUUUU